This 610-nucleotide long non-coding RNA is filed under the name Setaria viridis. Its description in RNAcentral is "long non-coding RNA (SVIR_LNC002138)". Lineage: Eukaryota; Viridiplantae; Streptophyta; Magnoliopsida; Poales; Poaceae. The record is from RNAcentral.
UCGGGUGGAAAGUUAUAUAUUCUAUAGGUGGAAAUUGACCAUGCAUUCUGGCAGAUGUUGUACCAUGUACCAGCCGCUCAAGAGUAAUUUAGUUUAGGUUUGUACAUUUCAAUUUUUGAAGGUGGUGAGGAUCAUGAUAAAUUCUGUUUUUAUUUAUUUUGAUAUUGCUCUUGGUGAUCACGUGUAUUCAUGUUGGUUAAUUCUAGUGGGAUGCGCGGUACCAUGGUGUAUAUUAUUGAUGAAAGUUUUUAAUUUUUAUUAGUGAUGUAUUUAUGGGUACAUAAUUUGCAGUAUCUUAGUGUAUAGCGAAAUAAAUAUGGAAUUUGUUUGUGGCAAAUACAGUGCAUCAGGACAUAUUCAAAAUUAAGAAUAUAUAUACAAUGUUAACAGAAAUGUGCAAAGCGGUACUAAGUUGUGUGUACAAUAAGAAUUGUGUGUUGUACACCAAUAUGCUUUGAUUUACUAAUCUUCUCUCAUGUUCACAAGUUAUACUCAAAAAAUCAUUGGUAGACAAGGUAAGCAUAGAGGAUUGUAUCUUAGUCGUUGAUCCGUACUCGUUUCUAUGCAAUUUUGUUUCUUUUAUGUGUAUUUUGAUCUUACGUAUAUGUUC